GCGCCGUCGCCGUGCUGCUCCCUGGUGAGUCGCUGCUCUGCUGUGCUGGCCUUGCUCACUACUGACGAUGCCUCGUCUCCUCGCUCCAUAUCUCUCUCUCUUGCUCUGCUUGUUCUUGCUUUAGGUUGCAGGCUUGCAGCCCCUGGAUGGCUGGAUGGUGCAUCAGAAGCAGCUUGCAGUUUGUUGCUUUAUAAAGGAGGACGAGGUACGACUAGCAUCAUUGAAUUUUUUUGGGGGGAAGGGGGUAAUAAUUGAGGGCUUGUCUCUGUGAGGAAUCUGGAGGUGAAGAACUUUGUCUGGAGUUUUCAGUGGAUAUCUAUCAAGUUGCUUAUCUAUCUCCCAUCCCUGGGCUCUGGCCCAUGCAUAUAUAAAUGAUAAAUCUUUUAUCACUCCACUUGCCAUGGACGACCCCCAUGGCGAUGGCGAUUUGAUUUCCUGGAUCACCCGCCCCAUCUCACUUCUCGACGUGCGCGCGCCGCUGUUCCUCUUCCUUUUUUUCCCAAAAGAAAACGGAGUGACAAUACAGCUCAUGGCAAAGGUUUUUAUGCUCUCCAUCCAUCCAUGCAGGUGCCAUCCGGCCACCCUGCAGGGGAUGCUAUAGUAGCUACCGAAAGCGACCUGCCAUUGACAAGAGUCAUGAGCCUUGUUGGGAUUAUUAUGAGGAACGCCGGCAGCUUCAGACUCUAGGGGCGACUGUUAGGUCAGGCCACAACAGGGAAUCCCUCCUGCGACAGGCACCUUGUCCUGUCUUGUGCGCCACUGUUGCUUCAUUGCUUGGGCAUUUGUGCGGUGUGCACUGCUGAUGACACACACAGUCCAGCACAAGCCUUUUUCAUCAAUUCCAGUGGCAGCGUGCCUAGCUUCUCUGGAAACCAAUUGCUUGCUUGCUUGCUUGCACUGAAAGGAUGCUGGUUAAUGGUUAGGUCAGGACUCACGAUGAUCCGGAUCAACAGGCGACAGCAGCAAUGGGUGACGAGAGAAGUAGUAACAGCUAUCUCUUUCUUUGGGAUCCAAAUAAUUGAGUUGUUUUUUUGUACUGCAGAUGCGCUGUGGCCACAUGCUGUUCUUUCUGCUAACUUCCGCAUCAGGCAUCAGAUUUUCUGCCUCCUUUUUUUUUCCUGGUGCUUUAGACUGUUGCUGUCACAGGUACGGUGCACUGGAAGGAAGCUGACCACCUGUUCUGUUCUUUUUAGGUGGUCUUUCUUUCUUUCUUUCAUGGCGAGAUGGGACGGGAGCCGAGUUCUUGCUCGCCUUUGCUUGUGCAAGCCGUGACGGCGAUGACGUCGGAACCCGAAUGUGCUGCUUUGGGGCUGGUGGGAUGGAUAGGGAUACCGAGUCAACUUGAUCAAGAUAGAAAAGGAGAGACGCCUAGGGGUUCCUCCUCCUUCCAGGCUCCCACGUAUACUUUACAAUAUCUGCAGACAUGUGUCAUUUUCGGUCAGAUAUGCAGAUCUAGGUGCAUAUUUUCAAGCACAAAUUCAGUUGAACACAUAUUGACACUCAAAAGUGUUGUUGCCUAGAACUUUAGCUUGCACUGUUGGUAAAGUAACGAGGAGGAGUAUGUUGGGGCCUUCGUCUUUCGAAGGUGCUCAAAAACACACUUAAUUAUUGGUUGUCAGCAUGUUCACAAGUGUUGUAGGAACUUCGGUAUUGAAUACCUUCGGAAUAGGAUGAAGAUAAAGACGAAGUUGUUAAGCUUUGUCACAACAACACAUAGAGACGAAGGAGAACAUUGCCGGGAGAAGGCGUCCACGGUUCCGUGUCCAAGCUGUUAGAGGCAGAAGUCAAUAUUGCCCUCGCAUCGUUUUGUAAAUUAUAUGUACAAGUCUUGUGGGCAUAUUUGUUAUUCCAUACAAAGUUGUACGAUCCCCUAUAAAUAGGUGAACAUUGACCUGCAUAAAGUACCUUUUGGAGGGCUAAAGAGUGAUUCGUGUAGUCCCUUCCUAAUGCACCUUCGCUCUAAUUCAUUCUAUUGAGCCGAAGGUACGAUUGUAAAUUUAUGAUACAAAAGAGGAGAAAUGGAAUGUUGAAAUAUCAAGGAUGAGUUAACGUGUUUCAACUUCUUUACAUUCCUUGUACAUACAUAUACUGUUUUGUGAUUUAUUCAAUUAAAAGCCCAACCUUCGUCUUCGAAGGGA
This 2138-nucleotide long non-coding RNA is filed under the name Zea mays. RNAcentral's name for it is "long non-coding RNA (ZMAY_LNC004060)". The record is from RNAcentral. Lineage: Eukaryota; Viridiplantae; Streptophyta; Magnoliopsida; Poales; Poaceae.